Molecule: long non-coding RNA, 2671 nt
Organism: Ailuropoda melanoleuca (giant panda)
Lineage: Eukaryota; Metazoa; Chordata; Mammalia; Carnivora; Ursidae
Source: Ensembl
UUGAGCUCCACCGCAGUCAGGACCCUUAGUGUGUGCCCUGCACGCUCCUGUCCUGGGAUCUCUCCCUGCCUUUACGACAUUACUCCAGAUCCCUGAGUCUAGGCUGUUGUCAGGGUUUUGUGCUUUUCCCUUCUAAACCAGUCCUCCUUUCUAUCCUCAGGAAGGUCUCAAGUGCUGCUUUAGUGACUCAUGAAAGUAACCCAAAGUGUUGCUUUUCUGAUUCUUCUUCCUCAGAACCCCCCAACACACGUAUGACCUGCACCGCAUCUCUGACCAUGAUGUCACCCUGAGAUGCUGGGCUCUGGGCUUCUACCCUGCGGAGAUCACCCUGACCUGGCAGCAGGAUGGGGAGGACCUGACCCAGGCCACAGAACAUGUGGAGACCAGGCCUGCAGGAGAUGGGACCUCCCAGAAGCGGGCGGCGGAGAGGAGCAGAGAUACACGUGCCACGUGCAGCAUGAGGGGCUGCCUGAGCCCCUCACCUUGAGACGGGCUGCUGCCUGAGCCCACCAUCCCCACCAUGGGCAUCAUUGCUGGCCUGGUUCUCCCUGUGGUCACUGGAGCUGUGGUGGUGGGAGCUGUGAUGUGGAGGAAGAAGCACGCAGGUAGGGAAGGCAGUGGGAGGGGAAUUUGAGUUUUCUUGUCCCACGGAGAGGUUUCAAGCCCCGGGUAGAAGUUUGUCCCACCUUGUUCAUGAGAAGUACCACCCACAUACCUGUGCUUGCCCACUCUGGAGCCAACUGCUAACACUCACUCUUUAGUAAAGACUUGUGCCAAUGAAGGACAAAUUUUUCACCUUUAUGUUCUGGUGUUGGGGACCUGAUCCCCAGCAGUUGAAGGUCAGGGACAAUUCCCUGAUGUAGACAGACCUCCAGAAGACAGUUUGGUCCAGUGCCCCCGCACAUCCCUUCUUCGUGUUUUCCGAUACAGUCAUGAGUCUUCAGUUAACAGUUCUGGAAACUUCAUUUUUUUGUUUGUUUUUUUUUAAAGAUUUUAUUUAUUUAUUCGACAGAGAUAGAGACAGCCAGCGAGAGAGGGAACACAAGCAUGGGGAGUGGGAGAGGAAGAAGCAGGCUCAUAGCAGAGGAGCCUGAUAUGGGGCUCGAUCCCAUAACGCCGGGAUCACGCCCUGAGCUGAAGGCGGACGCUUAACCGCUGUGCCACCCAGGCGCCCCUGGAAACUUCAUUUUGAUACAGGACUAGGGUAUUCCUCUGGAUACCAUGACCAGCCUUCUCCCUGGCCUCUGACAUGUUUUCUUCCCACAAGUGGAAAAGGAGGGAACUACUCACAGCCGACUGAAAGUAAGAGACCCUGGGAUAGUGUAGACAGGACCCCAAAGGGAGCUAACCCACCCCAUAGCUCCCCCUUUAGUCUCACCUCCUGUGGGCUCUGAGCACAUCCUGUUUGUUCUACCCCAGACAAUGACAGUGCCCAGGGCUCUGAUGUGUCUCUCAUGGCUCCUAAAGGUGAGACCCUGGAGGGCCUGACGUGGGGAGGGGUUGGGGCAGAGGGGACAUGACUGGGUUAUGAGGACUCUUUGAGUGGGACAGUAUAAGCAUUUAGUGGGCUGUGGAGAUGUCAACAUUUACAUGAUUGACCUGAAUUUGUUCAUGAUUAUUUUCUUUCACAGUGUGAGCCAGUUGCCUUGUGGUGGACUGAGUGAUGCAAGACUUGUUCACACUCCCACUUUUUUGACAUCAAGAGCCUGGGACGUCUCUAUCUGCUAACGGUGUCUGAAUUGUCUGUGUUCCUAUUAGCAUAACGUGAGGUGGGGAAACUGGCCCACCCCCACCCAUCAUGACUCCUCCCCAAACUGACCUGUGCUCUCUUCCCUGAUCUGCUUUCCUGUUCCAGCAGAGACGGGACUGGGUCAUCUCCAUCCCUGUCUUCAUGUUUGGCUGAGACGUAAUAUUUUACUUCGCUAUUGAAAAUCUGGAUAUGAAUUUGUUUUUUUUUUUUGAAGAUUUCAUUUAUUUAUUUGAGAGAUAGAGACAGCCAGCGAGAGAGGGAACACAAGCAGGGGGAGUGGGAGAGGAAGAAGCAGGCUCACAGCAGAGGAGCCUUGAUGUGGGGCUCGAUCCCAGAACGCCGGGAUCAUGCCCUGAGCCGAAGGCAGACGCCCAACCGCUGUGCCACCCAGGCGCCCCUGAAUUUGUGUUUUCUACUCUUGUCAUAUAGAACCGAUGUGGUAAUAAAGGACAAGACUCCUAAAGUUGAGACAGGAAAUAAAUGGAAGCCUGAGAACCUUCCAGAAGCUGCCUGAUUGAUGUGCUAUUGUAGGUGGGACAGGAGAGGCUGUGAGUAGCCAACAGUGGACAGAACUGUGCCUGGUUAGUAUUCAGUGUACUGUGGGCUUUAACAUGGUCACUCCUCAGCUAAGUCAUUUUUGCUAUUCCCUGGUCCCUUCAGUGGAAACUUGUUACACCAGGACCUGUGAUCACAGGGACUCAGACAUCACCUGUCUCUAGGACCAUGGGCAUCAAGAGCUUCCUUGACCAGAUCAGCGUAGGCUCCAGCUUGGAUCAGGCCCUCAGCCCCCAACUUUUGGGUGGGUUUUUUUCUUUGUUUAUAUAGAGAAUUAGGCCUAUUCUUAUUCUUGUGUCCGAGUUCUGGUCUCAUGUUCCUCUGGUGUCCCCCAGUCUGUGACCAUCACAGGGGUCCUAUGGCCUC